RNAcentral lists this ribosomal RNA (486 nucleotides) under uncultured bacterium. RNAcentral describes it as "partial 16S ribosomal RNA". It matches the Rfam family "Bacterial small subunit ribosomal RNA", at positions 30 to 507 of the family's 1533-position model. The record is from RNAcentral.
AUUGAACGCUGGCGGCAUGCCUUACACAUGCAAGUCGAACGGCAGCACGGGUGCUUGCACCUGGUGGCGAGUGGCGAACGGGUGAGUAAUACAUCGGAACAUGUCCUGUAGUGGGGGAUAGCCCGGCGAAAGCCGGAUUAAUACCGCAUACGAUCUACGGAUGAAAGCGGGGGACCUUCGGGCCUCGCGCUAUAGGGUUGGCCGAUAGCUGAUUAGCUAGUUGGUGGGGUAAAGGCCUACCAAGGCGACGAGCAGUAGCUGGUCUGAGAGGACGACCAGCCACACUGGGACUGAGACACGGCCCAGACUCCUACGGGAGGCAGCAGUGGGGAAUUUUGGACAAUGGGCGAAAGCCUGAUCCAGCAAUGCCGCGUGUGUGAAGAAGGCCUUCGGGUUGUAAAGCACUUUUGUCCGGAAAGAAAUCCUUGGCUCUAAUACAGUCGGGGGAUGACGGUACCGGAAGAAUAAGCACCGGCUAACUACGUG